RNAcentral lists this ribosomal RNA (394 nucleotides) under uncultured bacterium. RNAcentral describes it as "bacterial SSU rRNA". It matches the Rfam family "Bacterial small subunit ribosomal RNA", at positions 30 to 429 of the family's 1533-position model. The record is from RNAcentral.
AUUGAACGCUGGCGGCAUGCCUUACACAUGCAAGUCGAACGGUAACGGGCCUUCGGGUGCCGACGAGUGGCGAACGGGUGAGUAAUGCAUCGGAACGUACCUUUCAGUGGGGGAUAACGUAGCGAAAGUUACGCUAAUACCGCAUAUUCUGUGAGCAGGAAAGCAGGGGAUCGCAAGACCUUGCGCUGAUUGAGCGGCCGAUGUCAGAUUAGCUAGUUGGUGAGGUAAAGGCUCACCAAGGCGACGAUCUGUAGCGGGUCUGAGAGGAUGAUCCGCCACACUGGAACUGAGACACGGUCCAGACUCCUACGGGAGGCAGCAGUGGGGAAUUUUGGACAAUGGGGGCAACCCUGAUCCAGCCAUGCCGCGUGAGUGAAGAAGGCCUCGGUGUAAG